RNAcentral lists this unclassified non-coding RNA (174 nucleotides) under uncultured Agaricomycetes. Its description in RNAcentral is "sequence contains ITS1". Lineage: Eukaryota; Fungi; Basidiomycota; Agaricomycetes. The record is from RNAcentral.
UUGAAUCACAGAGGGUUGAUGCUGGCAGUUUGACUGCAUGUGCUCACUCUCCUAGUCUUAUUUAUACCUGUGCACUUAACUUUUGAAGGGAGGGUAAAGCCUGCCUUUGAAAAAUAUAUAUAAACCCUUGCCUAAAGUAAUGAAUGUUUAUCUGCCGCAAGGCAAAAUUUGGUA